Molecule: unclassified non-coding RNA, 35 nt
Filed under: Candidatus Scalindua brodae
Lineage: Bacteria; Pseudomonadati; Planctomycetota; Candidatus Brocadiia; Candidatus Brocadiales; Candidatus Scalinduaceae
Description: RNA (35-MER) from Candidatus Scalindua brodae (PDB 8D9I, chain C)
Source: RNAcentral
ACUUAAUGUCACGGUACCCAAUUUUCUGCCCCGGA